RNAcentral lists this long non-coding RNA (15841 nucleotides) under Heterocephalus glaber (naked mole-rat). RNAcentral describes it as "lncRNA (ENSHGLG00000041155.1)". The record is from RNAcentral. Lineage: Eukaryota; Metazoa; Chordata; Mammalia; Rodentia; Bathyergidae.
CCGGAACCCGCCCUGCGCUCGGCUUUGCUCCGCGUUUCCCGGGGUGCCCGGGAGCAGCCGCGGGCCCCCUCCGGCCUUCGCGGAGGGACGGGAGGGCGGUGGGGCCCCAGGGCGUGCCCGAUCGCCUGUCCACUCCCGGCCGCCACGCGCUGCGCCCGGCCCGAGGUGACCCGCGGGCAGGGCGGGUCCGCGGCCAGGGGCGCUGCGCAGGUCGGCGGCCGGCGGGCGUGGCGCGGAGAGGCGGCGAGGUGGCCCGCAUGGCGCUGGGAGCCGCGCUGCGGGCACGGGCGGGCGGCGGCCUCACGCACCGCUGGGUGCGGUGCCGGGCGCGGGCGCGAGGCGACGAGGACGCCCAGGCCGUGCUGGACGCGGAGGCCGAGGCCCCGGGGCGCGCGGACCCCGAGGGCGCACAGGGCCCGCACCCGGCCUCGCGCCCGGAGCCCCAGCCACAGGAGGAGGCGGCGCCCGGGGAGGCGCGCGGGAAGCGGCGCCGACGGCGGCUGAAGAAGUGCGGCAAGAACGUGGGCAAGGUCGUCACCAAGGGCUGCCGAUACCUCGUCCUUGGCCUGCAGAGCUUUGCCGCUGCCUACUCCUCCCCGUUCGCAGUGGGCACCAGCGUGGUGUCCCUUGUGCGCUAGAGGACCCUGCGCCUUUCGGACUUGGACUCGCAGAGCACGAGCACUGAGCACCGGAUGAGAAGCUGCCUUCCUUGUUGGGUCGGAUGGGUCAAGCGCCAGCCAGCCUGCCGCCUCCAGCGGGCUGCCAGACACUGGCCUGAGGGGCCCACCUGGGGCCAGGGGAGUUGGUCCCUGGGACACUCAUCCUUCGGGGAAGGCGGCAGGGUGGGCUGGAGACUGAUUUGGGCAGGGUGGGCUGGAGACUGAUUUGAGCAGCGUGGGCAGCCGAUGGCCGCUCCAGAGCAGGAAUCUCCUGCACAGGGCGCGGGCUCCCGGGCCGCCCAGGGCCCUGGCUUCCUGACUUCUGAGGCUGAGCAAAGCAGCUGUUUAUUUCUCAAGUCAUUCUCUCCCACCCUGUCACUCCACCACUCUGUCAAGGGAGUUUCAUCACAGGCUCAGGAAGAGGGAGGGAGGGAGGGAAGGAAGGAAGGAAAGGACAGCCUCCCUUUGAAGGCGCUGAGGAUUGCCUCCUGCAUUCUCAGCUGGGCCACAGAAGGGGGAGGAAGCCUCUCCUCGGUGCCUGGACCCUGGGAGAGUGGGGGGCACAGGAAGCUGGGACGGGUGAGGAUUCAGAAGAGGAGCCAGAAAGUAGCAGACGGUUGGAGGAUGUGGAAGAGGGCAGGAAGGGUGUCAGAGGAGCAGCAGGGGCAGGUGGGGAAGUCCAGUGUCGGGGGGCCCAGGCAGCUGGGGCUGUAGUUCUGGGGGACCGGGGGGGCUGCCAGGGCCCAUGGCGGGGCUCGGCCCUCUGUGGCCCGCAGGCUCACACUCGGGUGUGGAGCGCCCUGUCCUGCCCUGUGCAACCAGCUGACGCGGACUCCCUGGAUCCCGAGGUUGGGGUGCUUGAGGUCCUGGCCCUGUCAGCGCAGCCUGCACUCUGAGUUGCUUGAGGGAGGUGGAGGGUGGAGAAGAUCCCUCUGCCCUCUGCUGACCCCUGCGACAGGCUGAGUUCCAGCUGUGCCCAGAAUAUCCAGAGGCCUGGAUGCUCCUGCCUCAGCCACCCAGCCCAGCCAGGGCCCGCCCGGGGGGGCAGGGAAGCCGUAGAGGGACGGAUGGAUGGAUGGGCUGGUGGAGAAAACGGUGACUGGAGGUGAGGUAGGGUAGAAGGAAUGAAGCCAGGGAAACGAGGCAAAGACCAGAAUUUUAAAAUUGUGUUUUUCAGAAAAACUUCAGCUUUAGGACACAAAAGUUGCUCAAGCCUUUUUUCCUUUCAGGAAACUCAAUUUUUUUUUUUUUUGGUACCGGGGAUUGAACUUGGGAACCACUGAGCUCAAUCCCCGGCCCAAGGAAACUCAAAUUAUUUAUCCCCAAGGGCCGUAAAGAUACAAUGAGCCUGUAAAUUGGGCUUCCAGGGGCCUGUAUUUUUUACUUUUUUUUUUUAGGACAGGGUCUCACCAUGGAGUUCAGGCCAGCCUUGGACUCAUUAAGCAACCCAGGCUGGCCCCGAAUUCAUGGAAAUCCUCCUGCCUCAGUGUCCAAGUGCUCGGAUUACAGCUGUGUGCCGCUGUGCCUGGAUUUUACUUGUUUACUAUACUUUCUCCCACAAACUUCUACCUUCAGGGAGGCAGCAGUGUUAGUGGGCGGUAGAUCCCAACUUCGGGCUUGUGGAAAUCGUGUUCUGAUGAGCAACGUGACAGACAGUAGCAACACACAUCCCAGGCACCCCUCUCGGCCCGCAGGCCCCAUAACUGCGCCCAGCUCCGACCAUAGGCACCCCCCCCCCUCCAGGACUCGCAGGCUGUGUGUGUCUUUCAAUGUACGCUUUUAAAAUGUUUGUCUAAUAAAUUCCUUCGUGCCUCUUCUAACAUGUCCUGAAAAUUCCUUUUCCAAGCUGGAGUCAGUAGGGGUACAGCUUAGUCCUCGGGUAAGGCUUGGGGGUCUCCCGGGACCCCAUGCUGCAUCACAGACACGGAUCCUGCGUUGGCCAGUGCUGCAGGUCAUGUGCACACAUGGGAGAUCACCGAGGGCAGAGUGUGGAGCAGAGAAGGACCUCAGGGCCCAGGGCCUGCUGGCCCCCUGAGGGAAGCAGGACCCCUGCACCAGGUCCCCCGGUGAGUAGGGUGUCGCCUGGGGAGGGGGCCAGGGACUUCCCUGCCCCCCAAGUUGGAAAAUCCGCAAAAUCAAGCACAUCUGGCCCUGAACUUCUGAAGGUCUGGUUAAGAAUUAACUCAGAAAUGUCACAAGUCAGAGGCUCGCGGGGCUUGUCCUGAGGAUCGGGCUCACAGAGAGGACUUCACCCAGCUCCCAGUGCCCAAGGGUCACCCCCACGGCAGGGCCGAGUGCUCCCUGCGCCUACCCCAUCAAGUAGCAGGUCGCCUUUUUACUUUGCUCUCUGAUCGUCAGUACCACGGCCGCUGCCCUCCUGGGAACCGAGUUCUAGAGCUCUCCCUUGGGCCCGUGGAGCACAGCUUCUUCCCUAUCCUUUCCUCGGCCUGUGAUGUGAACAAGCUCCAGCCUGGUCAGUGUUUCCGUGCCAAGGCUGUUUCUCCCUCACUUUCUUCCUUGCCUGGAAACCUGGUGCAGCAGGUGUCCUGAGAGACUGGCGAGGACAGCGCCCUGGGGACUGCGGCUCUGAUGUCCUGGCCUCCCUGGCUCCACCCCCUGCGGAAUCUCGUCUCUGGCCCCAGCUUUGGUUCCUGGCCUGGAAACCUGCCUGCUGUCCUCAGAGAUUUCAGCCUGUCUUGCGUUCCUUUGCACUCAGUCAUUCAACAAGUGGACCUGAGCAGCUCCCGGUGCCCAGCCCAGGGCCUGUGGAUCUCCGUGUUGGUUUUGCCAGAAUGCAGGAAAGACUUGGCUUUGCUGGGCCUCCAGGGGUUGCUGGCCAGUAGGAGGAGUCGCCUGGGGCCCGGGGAGGGGUCGGCUCUGACCUCGCAGGCCCAGGCUCCGCCCUCGCAGGCGCAAGCUCUGCCCUCCACAGGCGCAGCCUCGGCUCGCAGGGCGCAGGGCGACCUGGGGGUUCCUCCGCAGGCUCCCAGGGUCCCCAGGUCCGAAAGCGCUGGCCGUGGCCGUGGUGGGCCGCUUGCGGGGAACUCAGUAGAUCCCUGCGCCACAAAAAUAAAAUACAAGUGCAGAAAGUUUUAUUUUGUGAACACUUACCGUCUGCCUUCUGAAUAGUCAUCUCAGAAUACUUAAAAAUGGAAGAAAGUAAAAAUAAUGGUGAUUCUGCAACCCCACGGGGGCGUUUGCCAGCGCCCGGUGCCUUCCACCGCCGCCCCAGUGCAGCUGCUUGCGAGGUGCGGGGUCUCCUAGUGCCGCGGGGCCGGAGGGGCCCGCUGUUCUCUGUGUGGACCUCUGCAGGGUCGUCCCGGACCACACCGCCCUGGGCACGGGCCGGGGCCGGGGCAGGACAAGCCAGGGACAGACGCACCGACACAGGAUCAACCAUGGGGACCAAGGACAAACAAGCUCCGGGCGCUCAGCCUGUUACUCGGGAGGAGCAGGAUUUGGUGCUGACGCUGGCAGCAUGUGUACUAAAGCUGGAAUGAUACAGAGCUCACCACAGCUCCUGUGCAAGGAUGGAGUGCAAAUUCAUGACGCUCUCAGAGGGGGAGGGGGAGGGGGAGGAAGAAUUCUCCUUCUGGGCCGAUUAGGUCUUAAAAUAUUGGUUUUACUAUUAAAACAAACCCCCAAACAGAAACAAAAACCAAAACCUGAAACCACGUGACUCUUCACUUGGUAUGGGUAACUAAAAGCAGAAUAAAGCUUGACCUGCAGUUGGUAAAACUCUGGGCCAAGUUCUUCUUUGCUCUGCAUAGAGACAUUUUGGUCCUUUGGGAAGCAUCCAUCUAAAAGUUGGCAAAACAAGGUUUACUGGCCCCAGAUUCACCUCGUCCCCCUUUAAGACUGAGGACGGCAAGAGUACCACAGUAAGUUUCAGGAUUUGCCGGGACAGCCGAUGGCCAGAUUUUGCAACAUCCAAUUCCAGGCCUCCCUGGAAUGCCACCCAGUCUCCUGACCUGUCAUCAGCCCAGCUUCCAGGACAGGCAGAGCUGUACAGACUCCCCCACGAUGAGGCACCUGCUCGAAGCAAGAACACUAUUACAGCUGUCAUCAAAAAGUCAGAUUAUGCAUGUACUGAAGAUGUCCAGAGGCUGGACUCCUGCAUUCCAGCUGGAAAAUGGUCAGGCCAUUUCUCAAAAUGCUACCCAUGUAGUUGGUAUUUGACCCAGCAAUUCUGUUCAUUGGUAUCUAUCUGUGAAAAUGAAAACGUGUCCACACAAAACAUGUGCACAGAUGUUCAUAGCAGGAUUAUUCAGCAUGAGCAAAACAUGUAAACAAUCCAAAGGCCAUCAGCAGAUGAAUGGCUACACAAAAUGCAGUGUAUUCACACAGAGGGGGGCCAGGGAUUUAGCUCAGUGGUUCUGCCGCCUGCCUCGCAAGCACAAAGCCCUGAGUUCAAUCUCUGGUGCCAGAAAAAAAAAAAUCAAUUGUCACAUAGUGGGGUACUAUUUGGCCAUAAAGAGGGAUGAAGCAAUGCUAUAUACUAUAAUGGGGAUGAAUUUUGACAUUAUGGAGAGAUCCAGUCACAAAAGGCCACAUCUUGUAUGCUUCCCUGUAUGGGAAAUGUCCAGAAGAGGCAAAUCCACAGAAAAAGAGCGAGAUUAGUGGAUUCUAUCUAGGGUUGAAAGAAAACGGGGUUUGACUGCUAAUGAGUACAUGGCUUUCUGAGGUGAUGAAAAAGUUCUAAAUUUCAUGUUGGAGAUGUUUGCUUCAUCUGGAAGAACCUGUUGGUUGAGGCCACCACAUCCGGGGUGGUUCUUCCCUCCUCAGUUUCCAGCCUACCUGUCAAUCAUCCACAGACAUGCCCAGAGCUUUACUGAUCUCCUGGCCAGUUGUUUCUCCGUCACGUCUGCACUGACAUAUCGUAGUUAGCGAUCACAGAAGACUUAGUCUAAUCGGAGGUUGUGAGGAUUUACAUUGUUAUUUUCUUUUAAGACAGAGUUUUAGUUUUAACUCUUUCAAGUAGGCCUAUCAACCGUUCUGCAUUAGACUUCUAUAUGGGGCACUUUGAACAUGAUAUCUAGCUAUUUCAGCGCCAAAAGUUGGAAAGAAUGUCUCAUCCAUACUGAUUUGUUUUGGGGUUCAUCAAAAAUCAAUUAAGCUUGAAUAUAAUUUAUUUCUGGAGUCUUCAUUGCAUUCUGUUGAACUGCAUGCCAAGCUUUGUGCCAGUGCCGAAAAUGUCUUGACAUUUGUAGCUGUGUAUUGUGUUUUGAAAUCAGGGAGUGUGAGUCCUCCAAGUUUGAUUCUAUCUUUCAAAUUGGUUUUGCUGUUCUUGGUCCCUUGAAUUCUAUUUAAAUUUUAUGAUUAAUUUGUCAGUUUUUACCAAAAAAGCCAGAUGAGAUUGUUGACCAGAUAGCAAUGAAACUGUAGGUCAAUUUGGGGAACAUUAUCAUCUUAUAGCGUUAAGGCUUCCAAGGCCAGAAGCAUGAUGUUUUUCAUUUAUUUAAGACUUCUGGAAUUUCUUUCAAUAGUAUUUUGUAGUUCUCAAAAUACAAGUUUUACACACCUUCUGUUAAAUUUAUUCCUAAUAACUUAUUCUUUUUUGUUGUUGUUGUUGUUUGUUUGUUUUUGUUUUGUUACCAGGGAUGGAACGAGGGACCUUGCGUUUGCCAGGCAAGCGGCAGAACCACUGAGCUAAAUCCCCCGCCCUAACUUAUUCUUUUUGAUCUCAUUGCAAAUGUAAUUUUUCUUAAUUUCCUUUUAAGACCAUUCAUUUAAUAGUGCAUAAAAAUACAAAGACUUUUUGUAUAUUGAUUUUGUAUUCUGCUACCAUGCUAAUUCACUUACUCUCUUUUUUUCCAUCACAGUAGGAAUUGAACACAAGGCCCUCGCCCUGAACUACUUCCCCAGUUCUUUUUGUAUUUUUAAAUUUUGAGACAAGGUCUUGCUCAAUGUCACUAAGUUGCCCAGGCUGGCUUGAACCUGCAAUCCUCCUGCCUCAGCCUCCCAGAAUGCUAAGUUUAUAGUAUGAACCACCAUGCCCAGCGUACUUAUUAUCUUUGAUAAUAUUUUUUAGUGAUUACGUAGGAUUUUUUAUAUGUAACAUUAUGUUACCUGUGAGUAGAGUCUGGUCUUAUUUUUUCUCUUCCAAUAUGAAUUCUGAGUAUUUCUUUUUCUUGCCUAGUUGCUCUGGCAAGAACUUCCACUGCACUACUGAAUUAUAAAACAGCAGAAGCAGACAUUCCUGACUCGAUCCUGAUUCAGGAGGAAAGAAGGCAGUCUUUCACCAUAGGAAUGCUACGUGCUUUUCUCGGAUGAGAUUCAGAUUGAGAAAGUUCUUUCCUAUUCCUAAAUUAAUGAGUAUUUUUACCAUGAAAGGAUACUGGAUUUUCCCAGUGCAUUUCCUGCACUUAUUGAGAUGAUAGUGUGUUUUUUGUUUUUUGUCCUUUUUGUGGCCUUUCUAUUGACAACUUAUAUUACAUUAACUGAUUUUUGGAUGUUAAACCAACCACAAUGCUGGACAAAUUCCACCUGACUGUAUGUUGUUGGACUCAGUUUGCUAGUGUUUUAUUGAAGAUUUUUAUACCUAUAUUCAUAAAUGAUAAUGUUCUAUAGUUUUCUUUUCUGAAGGUGUCACAGGAUAAUGAUACAUCUGGCUUUGGUAUCAAGAUAAAGCUGGCCUCAUAGAAUGAGAAGAGAUUUUUUUCCCUUCUCUUUAAUUUUUUUUUUUUUUUUUUGGUACCAGGGAUUGGACUCGGGUCCUUGCGCUUGUGCAGCAGGCAGCGAAACUACUGAGCUAAAUCCCCGGCCCCCGUUCUGUUCAAUAUUUUGAAGAGUUUGUAAAAGUAGGUUUUAGAACUUAAAAGUAUUUUGGAGAAUUCACCAGUGAAGUUAUCCAGGCCUUUGUGGAAAAUAAUCACUAAUUUAAGUUCUUGUUAUAGAUCUACUUAGGUUUUCUAAUUCUUCCUGAGUCACUUUUGUCAGUUUGCAGUUUUCUAGAAAUCUAAUUUUGUCUACUUUGUUUGACUUGUUGGCACAUAGUUUUCUUCGUACUCUGUUAUAAGCCUUUCAUUUCUGUAAGAUUGGUACUGCUGUCUCCCAUCUUUAUUGCUAUACCUUAAUUUACUGUAUGAACCACCAGAAUGUAUUUGUUCUAUCUGCUGUGGGUAGAUAUAUGGGCAGUUACCUGGCCCAUUCUUCCAUUCUUUGGUUUCAUAACAAUUGUUCUUAUAUGCCAAGGACUCCUCUUUCUGGUGACAUUUCUUGGGAGCCUCAGGAUAUUGCCCAAUGAACUUGGCACAAAGAAACUUGGAAAACAUUUCUGCUUUCACCCUGGCCACACUGAAGGCAGGAUUGCUUCUGUCUUUGACCCUGAGAUCUUCCCAGAUCUGGCUGGCAUUCCAGGAUUGGCUUGUGGAACUGGACUUUGCACCUUGUCAGGCACAUGAAGGCAGUAAAUGUUCCUGAGUGUGCACAGGUGUGACCACAUCCCUAGAUGCUUCUGUGUGGGAGGCAUGGGGGAAGGUGGGGAACGUCCCGAGGUGGCGUCUGGUUGGAGGAAGUAGUCACUGGGGGCUGCCUUGUGAGGGUAUGUUUGUCCCUGGCCUCUGUGGCUCUCUUUCUGCCCCCUGGGCCCAUGAGCCGAGCUGCUUUGCUCCGCCUGGCCAUGGACCUCAGCAAUGCAACCAGUGAACCAUGACCUGAGCCCUGAAACCAUGAGCCAAAACAAGUCUUGCUUCUUUUAGGUUGAAUUCCUCAAGUAUUUUGUCACAGUGACAAAAAGCUACCAUGUUUCCUGACUAUAAUAUUCUCUGAUUAACUGACUCUAUCCUCAUGUUAUCACACACCUGACAAGCUUGUAAUAAGGAGAGCCGGAGUGGGGAGUUUUUGUUGCUUCUUGUGUAAGUUUUUUUUCCUGUAACAAAAUGCCCAAGGUAGCUAACUUGCUCAGUUCUGGAGGUUUUGGUCCAUGGUCAGGUGGGUUGCUGGUUUGUUGGUUUGUGUGAGGUAGGACAUCGUGGAGGGGACAUAUAACAGGGGAAUUUUUCACCUCAGGAUGCCAGAAACCAAAGGAGAAGAGGGUCAUCCUUCAGGUCACCCCAGAUGACCUAACUUGCUCCAGCUGGGCCCCACACCUUAAAGGUCAUACCACCUUCCAGUAGCACCAGGGACUGAGGACUGAGAUUGUCAUGGAAGGGCCUUUGGGGACAUUUAUCAGCCACGACACUUCUCAUCCGAAUCCCAUUGACCUUUGGAAGCUUUUCAUUAAUAGGCCUAAUAAUUAGCUAGAGAAAUUCCAGGGCCUGGACUUGUGGGCUCCCAGGGUGACCCCAGAAACCACAUGGGUUCCUCCAAGGAGUCAAAAUCCUAAAGUGCAUACAUUACUGCACAUAUGGUGGGGGAAGCUGGUUCUUUUUCGCUGUCCUCAAGUAUUUAAACAAUUUGUCAAAGCUUGGACUGGAAGGGAACAUUGAAAACCAGUGUACUUAGAGCAGGAAAAAUGCAGGGUGUGAGAGGAAACAUUUGUCCUCACAAUGGCCUUUGAGUAGGGGAGCCAAUUGGGCAGAAGAUGAAUUCUUCAAAUUUAAUGAAAUUAUUCGUGCAACAAAAGAAGGAAAUAAGAGCUGUGUAGGGCAUAUGUGAGAUUUCCUCUUCCUUUUACUGGACAUCUAGCAGAGUCCCGGGCUCUGGCUGGGCCUUUCUGGUUCCACAGCUCUCAACGCUGUCCUGGUACCAAGGCAACUCCCUCUGAAAAUGCUCAGUGAGGAGAGAACCUUCUUCCUGACCCUGAAUCCCUCCUUUGGACCUCUGUGUGUCACUAGAUUCCAACCCCCUCCCCUCGAUCUUCACUGGGUUCCACUUAUAUGCAUGUGUUUGUACAUUUGGGCACACAUGUUUUACACAUUUGACUGUAAGCUUCUAGCACUUUGUAAACCUAGGAGUCUUGCAUAUAAUAAAUAUUUGGUCACAAUUUACAGACGUUACUAUUAACUUUUUUUGGUAGUACUGAGGACCUGCAGAGGACGAUAGCAUUGAUUAUGCCCAAGGCAGGCUGUGAAGAGCCAACCCCACAGUCAGCUUGUUUAUAGAAGUGAGUCCGGCUGAAGCCUACGUGCUGAGGUCAGAGUAACUCGCACCCAAAUUCCAUUCCCACAACUAAAACCUUCAGAUUAGAAGGACAGUGUUCUAAUCACAAUCAUAUAUUUUGUCUAUUCUGUUCCUAAUUUGAGAGUGCCAUGUCUUGUCCUUCACAAGCCUUGUUUACAUUAAUUUCCAUAGAAACCACUCAUUGCUCGCCUUUACCCCAGUUGAUUGCCUAUAAAAGUCAGUGCCUGGGACUGGCCAGGGCCUUUGUCGGUUGCAUUGCAUUGGUCGUCCUGGCUCCCUGCUUUCUCUCCUAGUUCUGUCUCUUUGUGCAUUUAUUUCUCAGACCUGCAUCAUAUACUGGGCAGGUGAGGACUGGAACCCGACUGACUACAGAGGUCUCCAGCAAUUGGUGCCCAUUGUGGGGGCUUGAACUAUAAGCAAUCACCUGCUCAGUGAGGCUACUCAGGGUAAAGAGGAAGAAAAGAAAAAGGAAAAAAAGGAAUCCAGGAUGCAGUGCACCUCACAUCAAGAUAAGGAAGUCUAAACAUGAAGCACAAAACCCUGGAAAAAAGAGGUAGAUGCUUCAGAUGCAAGACGGUAGUAAAGGUAGUCAGCUGGGACCAAAACAUGAGGAAAUCACUUUCAGCCCAAGCUGGCCUGCAGUGUUGAACUAAGUGCUGCAAAAGGUAAAUAUAGCCAUCAUUUUUCACCAACAAGAACUUUAGAUAUGGAACUUAGGCAGCGUGUCAAAAAUAACAUCCAGACAACUCAGCAGAGAAGAGAAGUUAUCUCCCCUGAGACUUUAACUGAGACCUUGACAGCUUGGAGCUUUGUGCGCUCUGUUUUGCGGCCCGAACAGUGAAGCCUGGGAGCCGCUCAAGCUUCUGUUUUGCGGCAAUGAGCCGCCGGUGAGAACUGUUUAGUUUUGUUCUUAGAACAACUGCUCCCCAAAUCUGCUGUCUUUCACAAAGCGGACCUGCCUCUCAGGAAAUGUGACAUCGUUACAGGCAAACCCCAGUGCUCCCCUCUGGAGGAGGCCAAGCUUCCUCCCCCUUGACUUGAGCUGCAAGCUCACAGGUGCGGAGGAGGUGGGUAAAAAGCAUGAGGAGAACUGCUUGGCUUCCAUGCACUGGGAAGUGCCAUGGUCACACUCAGAAAAAAUCAAAACUUGCACUCAGAUUGGGAAGAACUGAAAUGAGAAAAUAAAUAAUGGAUUGAAAACAGCUAGAAACGCUUUGGAAAGCAUAAAGCAAAACAAUGAGAAAAACACUCCUGGCUGUAAGAGCCAUGGCCAGCGCUGCGUUAUCAGCCUGAUGCUGCCUGCAAAGGUCUGGAAUCCAAUACAAAGCCAGGGAAACUGCAACUGGUCUCUACCAGACAUAGAGAUUUUAUAAGAGAAAUCAAGCUACAAAUUUUAGCUAAUUGAUAAAUGUAUCUUUGUUAUAAUUUGCGUUGAUGUUUAAUUGGUGUGCCUAAAACAUUUCUUGUGCAUUGCAAAUUCUUGCAUUGUAAUUAUAGGGUUAACUUGUUCUUUUCUGUACUUUGUUGAUGAAGAACUCAAAGUUACUGCUGUUCUAUUGGCAGCCAGUCAAAUUUUAAAUUGUAACAAUCUCAGAACAGAAAAAAAAGAGACACUUUAAAAUUUUAACAGCUGAAGACAAGUUUUUAAUAGAAGAUUUAUAGUAAGUGAGAUGGAGGAAAAAUAUUAAAAAGGCUAUAAGUAAAAGAUAUUUUUGUUGGUACUGGAUAUCAAACUUGGGACCUUGCACUUGCACAGCAGGCACCAGACCCACUGAGCUAAAUCCCUGGCCCAAGAGAUAUAUUUUUGAUAUGAAAGGAUUUUUCUUUUUGCGGGGGUACUGUGGAUUGAACUUGGGACCUUGCGCUUGCAAGGCAGGCAGCAGUACCACUGAGCUAAAUCCCCAGCCCCGAUAUGAAAGGAUUUUGUAUGUUUGUCUUAUUAGAAGAAUAAAGAGAGAUAUACAAGAUCAGAAGGCCUAGGUAUGUUGAGAAGGUGUGUGGAAGUGAUUUAUCAAGAAAAUAUGUAUAUUUGCUUAUUGGCUUCAAGUUUGUUAUAAAAGGUUUGCAUUUACAGGCAUAAAGAGCUUUCAUUCUUUCCAGUUCUACAAGAGAUCUCUGUUAAUUGACUUACAAAGAGUUUUGACCAGUCUUAUUUACAAUUAUGAACCUAAAAAUUAUGAAAGGAUUUAUAAUUCAAUUAAGCUAAAUAUCUAGUUUUAUAAAUUGUCUUAUGUUUGUUUGUUUGCCCGUUUGUCUGUCCAACUGUACAGUUGUGUUGUUUAACAAGUUUAUUCCUUUAAAAAAUUUUUUUUAAAAAGAUAUUUGCUUAUAAUCUAAAUUGGCUUGUAGAUAAAGGUUAUGAAACUUAAAGGCAUGUAUUAUCCCCACCCCAGUUGCUAACAGAUCAAAAUGAUGUAAUAUAUAUUGUUGUCUAAUAUAAUCACUCCAAAACAUUAAUUGGUGGGCUGGAGUUUUAGCUCAGUGGUACUGCCACUUGCCUCGCAAGCACAAGGACCCGAGUUCGAUCCCUAGUACCUAAAAACCCCCACAUGAAUUGGUUACAAAUAAUGUAUUAAUUGUUACAAUCUGGUUUUUACAGGUUAUUAAGUAAGCUUUGUCAAAGGAAUUAAUGAAGAUCCAUAGGUUUAGAGAGAUUGCUAAACAGGACUCCUCUUGGUGAAUACAAGAGCGGCCAUGUGGAAAUAUUUUCCAGCCUUUGCUCACUAGGGGAACCUCAACAGUUUGUAUACUCUUACAACAGACUGAUCCUGAUAGUUUUCAUAGCCUUAAAAGAGACUUACAUCAAUGAAUAUUACUUUAAAAUGUUAUUGUAAUAUGAUUACAUUGGUUGUCAUCAAAGGCUUAAGCUCUAAAUAUGUUAUGUGAUAUGUUUACACUGGUCAUCUUCAAAAGAUUGAAUUUUCUGUGAAAACAAAGCAAGGUUUUAUUGAAAAGAUGCUUUUUACCAAACUAAAUUAGAGGGUAUAAGGUUUCACAUAUAUAACUGUGGUAAUUAUUAUUGUUAACUUUCUGGUGUACUAAAUGUAUUUACGCUUUCUGACUGUACAGGUUUUCUAAUAUAUUGUUUAUGAUAAUAACCUUCUUUUGAUUCAGGUAUUUGCCAUUCUAUUAUACUCCAGCUACUUACGAUAAGAGGUACAUUUAUAAGCUGAUGUAUUUUGUUUAGACGGCAUCCCAUCAAAAGACAACAAUUUGGAUAAUAAUGUUUUGAGUUUUUGGAAGAGAAUGAGUGCAUUUAACAAUGGCUAUUUUAUACCAAGAUGGACACUUAAGUGUGUUACAAAGAUAAUGCCAUCAUGAUUGUCAUGCUAAAAUAUUAUGUGUGGCUCUUGAUUUGAAACUUUUUUUUCUGUUAACAUUUUACAGGAAUUUAAUGGCUAGAACAACCAUGAUUGGUAAUAAUAACAGUCUUCUAACUAUACUUUAUAUUUCAAAGUGCUUGAUAUCCAGGGGCCGGGGAUUUUAGCUCAGUGGUUCCAGUGCCUGACUUGUAAGUGCAAGGUCCUGAGUUUGAUCCCUGGUGCCAACAAAAAAAAAAGUGCUUGAUAUCCAGAUAAAAUUAUGACAGUUAAGUUCACUACUCCCAUUGCAAUGCUAAUGUUAUUGAUAUUCUGUUCUGGGUGUUCAACAACUAAUGCUUAGAUACCAGAAUUAAAAAGAUGACUUGUGGUAAGAAGACAGCCAAUAUUUUGGCCCUGACCCUUCAAGGUCUACAAAUAACCCAGAAAGUGAAGAACAUUUUCUACCUGAUCCUCUCGUUAUUUUGCUUUACCAACUUUGCUCUACCAACUUUGUUAAGUCACCCAACCUCCUGAGCAGAGAGAUUGUUGGACACCAAAAAGAUAAGAAUCAAGAGUGUGCCAAAGGAGUGUCACUUGUAGGGAAAAAUCUCCCACGCUUUCACAGAAAGCAACAUGGUCAAGCAAGCCCAUGACACACCCUGAUGGCUGACACGACAGGAGUUGAAAAGCUCUAUGCAAGGUUCAAGUCAUGUCUGUGGAGACUUAAUUGACCUUGAUAGACUCCAAGAGGUUACUUUUAAUUAAUGUAGGUCUCACCUUAACUUGCUCUUGAACACCCAGUAGAAAAGCAUAAUCCAAAGAUAGAUAAAGUCAGGACCAUAGUAAUACAGCUGGAUAUAAGAAGGGGCUCCAAUUGCUGACCCCUACUGACAGUUUCCAGCUACACUCGUGACUCACUCCUGUUAUGGGUCAAUAGAAAAAACUAUGGUAAAAUUUAUAGACCUCCACAAGAGUUUUAACAUUUUUAGCUGAAAUUGUUUUUUUAAUUAUUAAAUUUUCAGUCUUUUUACAGCUAAAAUUUAAAAAAUUAUGACAAAUAUCAGACUUAUAGAUAACCUCUAUUAAUAAAAGAGUCUAAGAGCCAGCAGUUUACAAUUACUAUUUUAGUCUUUUAAAAACAGUUUCUAAACAUGGCUGUUUCCCCAACCUGCUUUUUUAUUUUAGUACUUAUAAUUUGAUUAUAAUGCUCUAAUUUCUUUAAAAAAUUGUUUAUUCUUGCCUAUAGGCUGCCAAACUCCAAGUGAUUAUGUAGAUAAAAUCAACAACAAAUGUGCUAGAUUUUUUUAACCAAAAUCCACCAGAUUGACUUUGUAUAGAGAGUUUAUAAUUGCUAAAUCACAACAUGAUUUUAUUUAAGGCCUAUUAAAUUAGCUCCCUGAAGAGAGCCUCUGUCUUCCUUACAUCCACGCUUCCCAGCUCGAAGAAGUUAGAUUGAAACUAUGCCCUUUCUCCCCUAGCUGCAGUUGGAGGUGCUCCUUGGAAAGGGAAUUAUUAUAGACAGUUAAGCCAGUUAGACACAUUGUAAGUUUUUGUCACAUAGGGUCCACUGGCUAACUCAUGGGGCCAAGCCAUUGUUGAACGUAUUCACCUUUCCCUAAAGGCACAAUAAACCCAAAGGGGGGGGUGCAGCUACCUCCACAAGCUCAAUUAGAUCUUGUUACUUUCAUUUAAAAAUUUUUAAAUCCACGUAUGGAAAGUAAAUAUAUACAAAGAAAGACCUACAGACAUGUCCUAGACAAUAGUGCUGUCAAAGGAUGUCCUAACUAAAAGGUAAAUGGCUCCAUACAAUUAAUAACAUAGGGGCCAGGGGAUGCUUAUUUUUCAACAGAAAAUAAAAAGAUGUUGUGGCCAUCACCCCAGAACAUACCACCUUGAACCAACAAGAUGGAUUCGCUAUAAGCAGCAUGAUGUGACACCCUGCUGAAAGCCAUGCACAGGCUGCCUCUGAUUCACUCCCCUCACCUGCCACAGCCCUGGGACCUGCAAAGAUCACCAGACCUGAUGGAGCUGCUGUUUUCAAACAGAGAAGGGAGAGCUGCGGAGGACUGUAAUAUUAUGCCCAAGGGAGGCUGUGAAGAGCCAACCCCACAGUCAGCUUGUUUAUAGAAGUGAGUCCAGCUGAAGCCUAUGUCCGAGGUCAGAGUAACUCGCACCCAAAUUCCUUUCCCACAACUACACCUUCAGACUAGAAGGACAGUGUUCUAAUCACAACCAUGUAUUUUGUCUAUUCUGUUCCUAACUUGAGAGUGCCAUGUCUUGUCCUUCACAAGCCUUGUUUACAUUAAUUUCCAUAGAAACCACUCAUAGCUCACCUUUACCCCAGUUGAUUGUCCAUAAAAGUCAGUGCCUGGGACUGGCCACUGCCUUUGUUGGCUGCACCAGCACUGGUUGUCCUGGCCCCUGAUUUCUCUCCUACUUCUGUCUCUUAGUGCAUUCUUUUCUCAGGCCUGCAUCACACACUGGCCAGGUGGGGACUGGAACCUGACCGCAGGGGUCUCCAGCAAGGAUCAAAGCCAGGUGCUCUGCCAGUGAACUACAUCCACAGCCCCAUUCACUUACUCAUUUAUUUAUGUAUUUAUUUAGUAUUUUGAGACUGAGUCUCACUAUGUUGCCCAUGUAGUACUGCAGAUAGGUAGGUUAAUUAGAUAUCUUGUAGGCAGUUAGACAGGGCCAGCCCACAAGGAGCCAACAUGGAGGAGAGUGAAGACACAUUCACUGAAGGCCAGCAUUGUAAAAGGAGAGAAAUUAGCCUACCCAUGUAAGAUGAAGAGCAGUGACUGAUGUUCUAAAUAGGUA